Molecule: transfer RNA, 75 nt
Filed under: Staphylococcus aureus
Lineage: Bacteria; Bacillati; Bacillota; Bacilli; Caryophanales; Staphylococcaceae
Also listed under: 3 other names
Description: tRNA-Asn
Rfam family: tRNA
About the family: Transfer RNA (tRNA) molecules are approximately 80 nucleotides in length.
Source: RNAcentral
UCCACAGUAGCUCAGUGGUAGAGCUAUCGGUUGUUAACCGAUCGGUCGUAGGUUCGAGUCCUACCUGUGGAGCCA